ACUUUGGGUUCACUCGCAUGGU
Molecule: non-coding RNA, 22 nt
Filed under: Arabidopsis thaliana (thale cress)
Lineage: Eukaryota; Viridiplantae; Streptophyta; Magnoliopsida; Brassicales; Brassicaceae
Source: RNAcentral